GUCUACGGCCAUACCAGCCUGAAAGUGCCUGAUCUCGUCUGAUCUCAGAAGCUAAGCAGGGUCAGGCCUGGGAAUACCGGGUGCUGUAGGCU
Molecule: ribosomal RNA, 92 nt
Organism: Myotis lucifugus (little brown bat)
Lineage: Eukaryota; Metazoa; Chordata; Mammalia; Chiroptera; Vespertilionidae
Source: Ensembl